AGUCAACGCCGUGUGAGUGAAGAAGGUUUUCGGAUCGUAAAACUCUGUCCUAAGGGAAGAAACAAAUGACGGUACCUUAGGAGGAAGCCCCCGGCUAACUACGUGCCAGCAGCCGCGGUAAUACGUAGGGGGCAAGCGUUAUCCGGAAUCACUGGGCGUAAAGGGUGCGUAGGCGGCUUAGCAAGCCAGGGGUGAAAGGCAUUGGCUCAACCAAUGUAAGCCUUUUGGAACUGUUAAGCUUGAGUGCAGGAGAGGUAAGUGGAAUUCCUAGUGUAGAGGUGAAAAUUCGUAGAUAUUAGGAGGAACACCAGUGGCGAAGGCGACUUACUGGACUGUAAACUGACGCUGAUGCACGAAAGCGUGGGUAGCGAACAGGAUUAGAUACCCUGGUAG
This 393-nucleotide ribosomal RNA is filed under the name uncultured bacterium. RNAcentral describes it as "bacterial SSU rRNA". It matches the Rfam family "Bacterial small subunit ribosomal RNA", at positions 389 to 793 of the family's 1533-position model. The record is from RNAcentral.